UGAGACAAAUUACAAAUUAAAUGCACUUAGUUACAAAAACAAAGCAAAAUCUAAUGCAAAGCAUGCAAUCUUUUAUUCCUGCAGGAUAAAAUCUUUAUUUCACAGGCAUUAAAAGCUGAAACCAGGCCUCCAGAGAUCAGCUCAGAGACGGAGCGAGAGGCUGGAAGCCGUCAUCGCCUGUGUCGCUUGUGAGAACUUUCAUUUUGGCACUUGUUAGCUGCUCCAAAGCACCCAAUCCUUCUGAACUGACACAAGCAUCAAGUGGAAAUGAAACAUACACCCACAAAAACCCUAAGCUUCCUGUGAAAGGCCAAAAUUAACCCUAGCAUAAACAACCGCAGGGACAAACUGUGAGGGAGCGAUCAAGAUGUGUUAGUCUCAUGGCUGCUGGCUUGUUAUCUCACAAUGCAGCAAUAUAAACAGGAGGACCAACGUACAGACCGAUGUAACGCCUGCAGGAACAAAACACGAUGCUCAACACAAUGUGGCUGGAUGUCCCACUCCGCUUUUCCCCUCCAGUUUUACAUUCCUUCACAGAUUCUUAAUAAAUUGUAUGGGAACAUGUUUAUGUGGUUUUGUAUUUCUUCAGUUAAACUUCAGUAAAAAGAGAAACUAACGUUAGCAUUUCCAAUAUGGGCUAAUUUAACUGCACAAAGUUAAUUCUGUUAAACAUAAGCUACUGGAUCCCAAACAGGAAAUGGUUUUCCACAGGGGGAACAUUUCCAGCACUGAUAAACUGGUUGAUUAUUUUCUUAAUAUGCUAUUAAUAAUAUCACGUUGGUUUGACGCUGCAGUGAUGCUUUGAGCUGUUACAUCCUUUAACACAUACAAGGCUUGUUUUUUUCACACUUAUGAUUAUGAUCAAAGAAAAUGUUAUGUCAUACAGAGAUGGUACUUAAAUGAUUUCGUUAUUACGAGAAUAAAACUAUCCAAAUCAACCUAGCUCUGGGUUGAAAGUAUCAGCUCUUUUUUAAAUCAUGACUUUUUUAUAUUUCUUGAAACAUUUUUGACUAUUCUUCUUUGGAAAAUAGCUUAUAUUUAUUCAGAUUGAAUAGAUAGCAAUCAUUAAUGUAUUAACUUUCAAAAUUUGACACAAAUUCUCAAUUGUUUUUAUGUUUCGACUUUGACUAGGCCAUUCUGACACAUUCUUUGAUCUAAACAUAGCUCUAGCUGCAUGUUCAGGGUUGUGACUCAAAUGUUUUUGGGGGUUGUUUGGCUCUCGUGGCCUUUGUUUGAGAGUACUAGGACAGGAAAGUGGCUAGACAUGCAGAAAAGGUCACCAGGCUGGGAUUCGAACCUGUGACGGCCGCAUCGAGGGCUGAGACCUCCUUAUGUGGGUUGUGCUAAACCCUUGCGCCACCACAGCACACUCCAACACUUUAAGUUUUAAAU
This is a long non-coding RNA of Poecilia latipinna (sailfin molly), 1392 nucleotides long. RefSeq lists it as uncharacterized. The record is from RefSeq and is a predicted model, not a curated record. The transcript is spliced from 4 exons. Lineage: Eukaryota; Metazoa; Chordata; Actinopteri; Cyprinodontiformes; Poeciliidae.